This is a long non-coding RNA of Herpailurus yagouaroundi (jaguarundi), 2342 nucleotides long. RefSeq lists it as uncharacterized. The transcript is spliced from 7 exons. The record is from RefSeq and is a predicted model, not a curated record. NCBI's taxonomy places the organism in Eukaryota, Metazoa, Chordata, Mammalia, Carnivora, Felidae.
GCCAGGUUCCCGCAAGUGCCUGGGACCUGCGACGCAGUUCAUGCCGGUGGCAUUCCUCCCUGCGAAACGAAUGGCACAUUCCAACACCAGUACGGUGCCUCGGGGGUUAUUUUUUCCUAACUCGUCUAUAUUCUGAUACUUUUGAACAUUUUAACCAACUUCGUUAGUCUGGGCCGCCCGGCUCUAAGCGGAGUGUAGUUUUGCAGGGAAGGAGCUGGAUGCUUUAGGACAGCUCUUAGAUGCCUGUGAGGGAAGGAGACAUUGGAAAAUCAAAAUAAGAAAACGCCCUUGGAAAACAGGAAUAAACUUCAGGAACUGUGUGCAAGCGAGCCUUUGGUUUGCGGUUGCACAUUUCACUGAACACCGGCCUGUUUUCUUGCUAGGGGACGCGGUCAACUCUUGGUUAAGCUGGGUGUCAUAUGGCCUGGGAAGGACGGAGGGCAUUGACUGGCAAGGCAACCCCGCCCAGGUUCUUAGAAAAUGAGUUGUUUGAAUUAUCUCGAUGAUUCAGGCGAAACAAUUCCCCCUUCUCUAAAAUUACUCAGCCACUUUGUAUACAAGAAAAGUUUAGGGCAAGCUAAGAGUGCCCUGGUAAAUAUUCAGGAAGGUGAAAGGUUAGAACUAUUCUUUUAGGCAGAUUCAGGAAAUGGUUCUCUUCAUGCAUUUUUCUUUUCACCCUCGUUGAACAGUCUGAUGUGAGCAAUUCAGGGGUGAGAUUUUUUUUUUUUUUUUUGGUUUGGUUUCAUGUAAUUUCAGUCAUGAAUGUUUUUCUGAAUUUGAACGUUUUAAGAAAUGCACUGAUGAGCAACAUUCACAUUAUUUGCUACGGAGGCUGCACUGAAAAAUUGAGUCAUAAACAUUUAACAAAUGUUGGAGCACCUGUUGAGUGUGGUGACGUGCUGUUCACCAUGGUGGACAGGGUUCCUCCAUUCCAAGUUUCCGGGCUGUGUUCCCACUAGGGUCAUUGUUUUCUUCUAAUGUAUAACUCUCUUCCAAGUCCUCUUUUUGGCUGCUCAAACUCCAAAGAUGGUGUCAUACCCAAAAAUUCAUUACCAAGACCCAUGUCAAGGAGCUUUAUUCCUGUUUUCUUCUAGGAGUUUCAUGAUCUGAGGUCUUUACACUUCUGUCACAGGAAACACAAGAAUACCCCCUGGAUUGGAAAAUCAUUCAGAGGCUCCUUGAGAUGAAGGCCAAGACAGGAUGUUUGCAUAUUGUAGCUACUGCUGCUUCUGCUUGGAAAGAAAGGACUUUGCUCAGAUCUACAAGUGACUGCCUCAUUAUUCUGUUCUCAGCUUCUCAUCUUGUUGCCUUUAACGACCCUCUUAGCUCAGAUUAGCUCUCCCAUCUACCACCUUUCAGAUGGAGAGAUCUUAAGAAAGUGGCCUGAGAGCAGAGUGGUUAAACUUAAGACUCAGAACUCUGUGUGGUCUGGAUCUGAAUCCCUGCUCCCACGUUUGCUGUGUGUUCUUGAGGAAGUCAUGGGAAAAAGCCAUUGCAAAUCACAUUCUUCAAGGGACUUAAUCAGGUACUUCCUUGACCCGUGACCUCUCUACUAGCAGGGUAUCUGGCAUUAGCAUGAGGACCACAGUCUUCUUUGCCAUAUUGUUCCAGGAACCUGAGAACUCACUUAAUCAAGGUGUCGCUGUUGAUGCGGAGUUUGUAUGUUCCCAUGGACACUUGUCCAGAUGUGUGUUUCUGUGGGGAAAGCUUGAGCUCCACCCAUCCCCCUGAACCCCCCCAUCACCACCACCAAGUGCUAAGCACUGCCUAAGAGCCUAUACACUAUUUCUCCCAGGACCACAGCUCUUUAGUUUACUCACCACGGUUAGCCAUUUUUCCUCAUUGUUCCUAGUCACCCCACCAGACUGGCUGGACCCUGAAGGUUUUCCAGCAUUAGAAAUGUGCUAUUCAGAAAUCAACUCUUCCCCUGUAAUCUUAUUAUGAAACUAGUGUCACUGGCCUGGAUGGUCAUAUUAUUUUAGGGGUGAGCAGCUUUAAUAUAUCCUGAAAAAAUUGCUCUGCUUUAAAAUUUCACACUGUAGGAAUUAGGCUUUAAAUACUUAUUAAUUCUAAAAGAUUCUUGGGUCCUACAAAUUGGCCUUAUUUUGCCUUAUCACUAAUUUCUGAGUACAGGGGUUGCAGAUAGUAGCAUCCCUCAGGUACACUCUAGUUCAGAGGAGUGGAUAUAUGUUUACUCAAAUUUGGAAAAAGAACUCCUUAAGUGGCUAGUCCCAAGAUAAAGAAUAAACCUCUUAUUAAAAAUAAGCCACACCAGAGGAUCAGGAGAAGAUGGCGGCGUAGGAGGACGCUGGGCUCACCACACGUCCUACUGAUCACUUAGA